RNAcentral lists this ribosomal RNA (460 nucleotides) under uncultured bacterium. RNAcentral describes it as "partial 16S ribosomal RNA". It matches the Rfam family "Bacterial small subunit ribosomal RNA", at positions 338 to 795 of the family's 1533-position model. The record is from RNAcentral.
CCUACGGGAGGCAGCAGUGAGGAAUAUUGGUCAAUGGACGGAAGCCUGAACCAGCCAAGUCGCGUGAGGGAAUAAGGCCCUACGGGUCGUAAACCUCUUUUGCCGGGGAGCAAGGGCCGGGACGAGUCCCGGUCCGGAGAGUACCCGGAGAAAAAGUAUGGGCUAACUCCGUGCCAGCAGCCGCGGUAAUACGGAGGAUGCGAGCGUUAUCCGGAUUUAUUGGGUUUAAAGGGUGCGUAGGCGGGCUUUUAAGUCAGCGGUAAAAAUUCGGGGCUCAACCCCGUCCGGCCGUUGAAACUGGGGGCCUUGAGUGGGCGAGAAGAAGGCGGAAUGCGUGGUGUAGCGGUGAAAGGCAUAGAUAUCACGCAGAACCCCGAUUGCGAAGGCAGCCUUCCGGCGCCCUACUGACGCUGCGUCACGAAAGUGCGGGGAUCGAACAGGAUUAGAUACCCUUGUAGUC